GAUGAACGCUAGCUACAGGCUUAACACAUGCAAGUCGAGGGGAAACGACAUCGAAAGCUUGCUUUUGAUGGGCGUCGACCGGCGCACGGGUGAGUAACGCGUAUCCAACCUGCCCACCACUUGGGGAUAACCUUGCGAAAGUAAGACUAAUACCCAAUGAUAUCUCUAGAAGACAUCUGAAAGGGAUUAAAGAUUUAUCGGUGAUGGAUGGGGAUGCGUCUGAUUAGCUUGUGGGCGGGGUAACGGCCCACCAAGGCGAUGAUCAGUAGGGGUUCUGAGAGGAAGGUCCCCCACAUUGGAACUGAGACACGGUCCAAACUCCUACGGGAGGCAGCAGUGAGGAAUAUUGGUCAAUGGGCGAGAGCCUGAACCAGCCAAGUAGCGUGCAGGAUGACGGCCCUAUGGGUUGUAAACUGCUUUUAUAAGGGAAUAAAGUGGGAGUCGUGACUCUUUUUGCAUGUACCUUAUGAAUAAGGACCAGCUAAUUCCGUGCCAGCAGCCGCCGUAA
RNAcentral lists this ribosomal RNA (508 nucleotides) under uncultured bacterium. RNAcentral's name for it is "partial 16S ribosomal RNA". It matches the Rfam family "Bacterial small subunit ribosomal RNA", at positions 28 to 523 of the family's 1533-position model. The record is from RNAcentral.